RNAcentral lists this long non-coding RNA (1067 nucleotides) under Balaenoptera musculus (blue whale). RNAcentral's name for it is "lncRNA (ENSBMSG00010020057.1)". Lineage: Eukaryota; Metazoa; Chordata; Mammalia; Artiodactyla; Balaenopteridae. The record is from RNAcentral.
AUUGGCUUUCCCCCACUUAUUGCAGAGAAGUGAGGCGGGCAGACACCCGGAACCGUUGUUCGCGGGUGUUUGUUUCCCGCCGGGGCGGAUUUCUGGGGCCGCGUCUGGCCGAGACGGAGGCAGGAGCGGGAGCCGUCUCCGGGCUCUCCGAGUCCAUGACCCCGCGCGGCGGACAUCCUGGGGCCGCCCCUCGAGCCGCUUCCCACCGCGCUCGGACCCGAGAGACCUCCGCACCGCGAGCCGGCGCCGGGAGGAUGCCGGGCAGCUGGCGCAGCACGUUCUGGACCACUUGGCUGGAAGGAAUUUCCUGGACCAUGGAGAGACUGCAGGGGCGCCACAGAAUCUCUUGUUUCUGGUACAGAAGCUGCCUCCCCUCCCCAGCUGCAGCGCCGCCCCGCUCUGGUUCCCCCCGCGCCACGAUCUGCUCGUGGACACGCGCAGCAUUCGCUACUAGUUCACCGCGCAGCUGGAGGACGAGCUGCGGGCGCCCCCCCGGCGCUGCACUCGACGUUCCAACCUUACGCGUGCGCCGCCUGCCCCAGGCCUUCCAGCGCUGCGGCCACCUGGCGCGGGCCGGCGCCGACCGCCGCACUAGGUUCCAGAUCUGGCCUGGCUGCCCUGCCCCGCUCUGGUCAACGCGCUCCUGCACCAAGACGCGGCCGCCGGACCUCGGUUUCCUCUCUGCGCGCGGGAGCGUCGGGCCCACCGCGCUUUGUGCCGACAUCACCCAGACGCUGUCGCUGCUGCUCCUUGCGCCUCAGUCUCCCCCUUCCUCGAUGGGAAGAGCCACUCUUGCCCACCUCUGCAUCUGUCAGGGUUUGGCCCUCUCGGGCCCUCGGUCUCCCCACCUGCCCGAUGGGAAGAGCCAUUCUUGCCCACCUCUGCAUCUGGCAAGGUUUGGCCCUGUCUGCACCUCGGUCUCCCCAUUUGCCCAGCCGACAGAAACUUCCCUCUUCCCGCCCUCUGCCUCGUUUGGAAGGGGAUGCAGGCGGGUCGGCCGGUGGGAAGAGGACGGAUUGGGCGCGCCCGUUCCUUGUGGGACUUCGGGCAAAGACAGCCUCGCCUAG